AUAUGUAGAAUGUAACAAACAAACAUUACAUGCUUUGAUACUUAUCUUUUUGGUUCCUUGCGGGGUCAAAAGCAGUGGUCGCAAUGUUACUACGAGCCACUAGGCUGCGCUAGAGGGGAGUGAUGACUGGAUAUUUUCCAGGUCACCACAGAGCAAGUGAGUUGUGUUUGGUAGAGGGAACAGCAUGGUGAACUAAAUCUACCGUCUCACUCUGCUUCUGUCAUCUUUAAGAACAUUAUUGUUGCUGCUCAGAUGCAUGGACCUGUUGUUCUGGAGGUUCUCAGAUGUGGUGAUUGUUGAUACAUACAUUCAAUGGACUACAUGGUGAUCGUUGAUUGGGUUUCAGCAAACUUUAUGGUCAUCAAUGGUUUUUCCAGAAAGUGUGGAACAUCGGCGGGUGAACUAUAUUCUUAGACGUGGAAUGACACGGUCAGUGACUCCGAAUUUCUCAUUGCUCUAUCCUAUUUCCCAGAGAGAGGUUGUAGAUAUCAUUGCAUUGCACUCAAUCCAUCUAAAAAUAGUCACCUCACCAUCUAUAUCAAUUAAACAGAUUGUGUUCUUUC
This is a non-coding RNA of Danio rerio (zebrafish), 563 nucleotides long. The record is from RefSeq and is a predicted model, not a curated record. NCBI's taxonomy places the organism in Eukaryota, Metazoa, Chordata, Actinopteri, Cypriniformes, Danionidae.